This 497-nucleotide ribosomal RNA is filed under the name uncultured bacterium. RNAcentral's name for it is "partial 16S ribosomal RNA". It matches the Rfam family "Bacterial small subunit ribosomal RNA", at positions 28 to 507 of the family's 1533-position model. The record is from RNAcentral.
GAUGAACGCUGGCGGCGUGCCUAAUACAUGCAAGUCGAGCGAACAGACGAGGAGUUUGCUCCUCUGACGUUAGCGGCGGACGGGUGAGUAACACGUGGAUAACCUACCUAUAAGACUGGGAUCACUUCGGGAAACCGGAGCUAAUACCGGAUAAUAUAUUGAACCGCAUGGUUCAAUAGUGAAAGACGGUUUUGCUGUCACUUAUAGAUGGUUCCGCGCCGCAUUAGCUAGUUGGUAGGGUAACGGCUUACCAAGGCAACGAUGCGUAGCCGACCUGAGAGGGUGAUCGGCCACACUGGAACUGAGACACGGUCCAGACUCCUACGGGAGGCAGCAGUAGGGAAUCUUCCGCAAUGGGCGAAAGCUUGACGGAGCAACGCCGCGUGAGUGAUGAAGGUCUUCGGAUCGUAAAACUCUGUUAUUAGGGAAGAACAAAUGUGUAAGUAACUAUGCACGUCUUGACGGUACCUAAUCAGAAAGCCACGGCUAACUACGUG